Molecule: long non-coding RNA, 414 nt
Organism: Cyprinus carpio (common carp)
Lineage: Eukaryota; Metazoa; Chordata; Actinopteri; Cypriniformes; Cyprinidae
Exons: 3
Source: RefSeq, a predicted model, not a curated record
CUCGGCGUCACUAUAUCGACGACCUAGGACCUACAUUGAUUUCAGUGGGAAACUUCUGGCUUCAGUACUCAGACGCGAAGGGGAUGAGAUGUUUAUCGCUAUGAAAUCAUGUUCAAGAAGUCUCAUUCAGCACACAUAGCGAUAUUUGCCAUCAGUUAACAUGUGCCACAGGUUCGGUCUACAAUAUCGAGCUCAACAGCUCUUUUAAGAGCCAACCCUCACAAACCUUCCUAAAAACUAUAAAAGCUAUUACUGAGUCUCAGCGAAUCUUGCCAUGAUCAGCCCUUCCCAGAAGAGAAUGAAGACCAAGGAAAUUCGAUGAGGAAUGAAGACGGCCAUCUUGCGCCCAAACAAAGACAGAAAGCUGUGCAAGUCCACUGGUAUGUCUGUAUUGAAGCAAUGCUGUAUUAUACA